CAUGACCUUCAUCAUCAUCUUCAUCUGGACUCUCACAGCGUUUGCUCAAGAGAGUAGAGGACAGAUCAGCGUCACUCAGAGUCCCUCAACAGCAGCUCAACCAGGAGAAACAGUGAAGAUCAGCUGCAAAACCAGCACUGAUGUGUACAGAAGUACAACUUAUUCAGUGUACUUACUCAGCUGGUACUUACAGAAACCUGGAGAAGCUCCUAAACUCCUGAUUUAUGCUGCAAACACUCUCCAGUCAGGAACUCCAUCUAGAUUCAGUGGCAGUGGAUCUAACAGUGAUUUCACUCUGACCAUCAGUGGAGUCCAGACUGAAGAUGCUGGACAUUAUUACUGUCAGAGUUAUCACUACAUCAACAGUCAACAUAUGUUCACACAGUGAUAAA
Non-coding RNA from Carassius auratus (goldfish), 392 nucleotides. The record is from the annotation of a RefSeq genome assembly. NCBI's taxonomy places the organism in Eukaryota, Metazoa, Chordata, Actinopteri, Cypriniformes, Cyprinidae.